AUCUCCAAGAAUCAUAGCAAACAAAUUCACAGUGAACAAGCAUGGAUUUUUUCCCCUUUCAAUUAGAUUCAAUUAGGAGUAAAAAGCUAUUACAGCUAAGAACAUUUUACGUAGUUGUAAUGGUUCAGCUUAGCAGGUUCCUGAUGAGGAGAUUUUGAUUCAAUCCAAAGCAUCAGGUCUUUUUUAUUAUAAUGAUUUUUGGGAAUAUGAAAUGG
Molecule: unclassified non-coding RNA, 215 nt
Filed under: Hevea brasiliensis (rubber tree)
Lineage: Eukaryota; Viridiplantae; Streptophyta; Magnoliopsida; Malpighiales; Euphorbiaceae
Source: RNAcentral